AGAAUUGCUAGGGUUGAAUUGCCACCGUAUUAGUGACCAUGAAAUUUUGAGCGUGAUUAUUUUUAUUUAUGGCGCCAUAUUUUAUCCACAAUUAACUCACAUAACCGGCCUCUCCACUAAUUAGGGUUUUGAUUGAAUAUUAUUCACCCUUAUACAUCAUUCCAUCAAAGCCUGAAUCAAAGAAUGAACUUCUGCACAAGUUGCUGCUGCGGGAUUGACGUUCUGUUUAUGCUUCUGAUUGACAGAUAUCAUGGCACGAACUAUGGAUCGAGGUAGUGUUGCAGCUGGUGGUCGAGGUGUUGGGCAAGAAGUUGGUCAAGCUGGUGGACGAGGUAUUGUACGAGGUAGUAGUCAAGGUAGCCGUCUAGCUACUACUCAAGAGGUUUGCCGUUGUGGUGGUCGAGUUUAUGUGCGAAGUGGUGAUCAAGCGGGUGAUCGAGUAGUUGGGCGACGUAGUGGUAUAGGUAACAAUCAAAGUAGUGGUCAAGCGGGUGAUCAAGGAGUUGGGCGAGGUGGUCGUAUAGGUAACCGACAAAGUAGUGGUCAAGCGGGUGAUCGAGGAGUUGGGCGAGGUGGUGGUGAUGUUAAUUUAUUUAACAUCACCACUUAGACAAUUUUUAUUUAACUUGUUGGAACAUUUUGUAUGUGAAUUUAUUUAUUUUUUUUUCUUCAUAGAUGUAUUAUCAGUGGGAGGAUAAAAACCAUGCACAAAUUCAUAGGUGCUGGGAGAAGUGCAUUGCUGGUAAAUUCCCCACUUUGUUGCGUAACGUACGGAAUGAAGCUAAAGCUAAGGCGAAGGAACAAGGUAAAAAUGUUGGAGACGAUAUGACCGAUGUUAUUGACUUUAAACCAACAUGGAUAAGAUCUGAGAUAUGGAAACAAAUGCUUGACCACUGGAACACACCUAAGUGGAAAGCAAAGUCUUUAAGAAACAAAGACAUUAGAAGUAGGGCAACUGGCGGCAAACAUACACUAGGAUCCCAAUCCUAUGUGACCCUGAAAAGAAAAGCGAAAAGGAAACUUGGGCGUGAAUUGACGGUUCGUGAAGCGUGGAAGCAAGCACACUGCAGGAAAGGAAGUCGACCAUUGGAUAAAGAUCUAAGUUGUAGCAGUUCACUACUUUUGGACGUUGAUUCGGCAGGGGACGCUCAAGAAGAAAAUCUUGUAUGAGUUGAUGCUAGGGCAGAGGAGACUUGGGUUAAAUAUGAAGGUUUUCUUGAGGAGAAGUAUGGGAAAGAACGUAACAAACAUCCAAAAUUUGACGAAGACUUGUGGUGACGAGCUGAGGGCAAGAAGAAAGGAAAAGUGUACGGGUUAGGCAAUGAUAGUGACCCGUGUGUACAUAGCAGAGAAGACACUGAGAUUGAAAAGUUGAACUUAGUUAUCAAGGAGCUCGUUAAGGAAAAAGAUGAAGAAAAAGAAAGGUUCAAUGGAAUUAUUGCGGGGUUGUUGGCUGACAAAGAAAAAGAUAAGGUGGAUAAAGAUGCGUUGCUUGAUCACGAUGUCACAAAUUGAAGCUAUGUUAACAGCUACAGUUCGAAAAUAGGCUAUAAGCACUUGAUUUUGAAUGUCUAGAUGUUUAUCUUAUUAGGAUAAUUUUAAUUGGUUUAUAUUUUAGUUGGUAUUUUUUAUAUGCUUUUGAAAA
Molecule: long non-coding RNA, 1645 nt
Organism: Helianthus annuus (common sunflower)
Lineage: Eukaryota; Viridiplantae; Streptophyta; Magnoliopsida; Asterales; Asteraceae
Exons: 6
Source: RefSeq, a predicted model, not a curated record